CCUUGUGAAUAGAAGAUUGAUGUUCCCAUUUUAGAGAUGAGAAAAGUGAGACUCAGCAUUUUCAUAACAUGUCUAACUUUCUGUAUACUCACUAUAUGACUGAGAGAACGUGUCAUCUCAUUUAAUCCUCACAACAAUCUGAUGAGGUCUGCUGCACUCACAAGCCAGGUUAUGUCAGCUGGACUAUGUGGUGCCUUUUGUACCUGUCUGCAUCCUGCCAUCUGUUUGCCAUCUGCAGAGGGCUCAACUUGCAGUCCCAAAGGAAAGCACUUCUCUCUCCUGCUGCCAUGUGAAGAAGGAUGUGUUUGCUUCACCUUCCACCAUGAUUGCGAGUUUCCUGAGGCCUCCUCAGCCACACGGAAAUCAAUCAUUGUUGAAACUUCUGUCCUCAAGUUUAAUAUGAGAGAGUAUAAAACUAGGGUUCUACACAAUGAGCUCCCGGUCUGCAGAGCUUCUGGGUGUGAUUUGCUGAAAAAGGUUUCAGUUUAG
Molecule: long non-coding RNA, 489 nt
Filed under: Papio anubis (olive baboon)
Lineage: Eukaryota; Metazoa; Chordata; Mammalia; Primates; Cercopithecidae
Description: lncRNA (ENSPANG00000037178.1)
Source: RNAcentral